RNAcentral lists this ribosomal RNA (2087 nucleotides) under Metacrangonyx longipes. RNAcentral's name for it is "partial 18S ribosomal RNA". It matches the Rfam family "Eukaryotic small subunit ribosomal RNA", at positions 147 to 1562 of the family's 1831-position model. Lineage: Eukaryota; Metazoa; Arthropoda; Malacostraca; Amphipoda; Metacrangonyctidae. The record is from RNAcentral.
CUGUGGUAAUUCCAGAGCUAAUACAUGCAACCUGUAUACCCUGAUGGUGCCGCUUGGGCGCGUUCGCGCGUGCUCAUGUGUGUGCCUGACGGGUGCUUUUAUUAGACCAAACAUCGCUGGCGGCGCAAGCCGCUAGACUCGUGAUAUGGUGACUCUGGAUAACCUUUUGACAAGCGCACGUACUUCAUUCCUGGAGACGGCGCUGCCACUUUCGAGUGUCUGCCUUAUCAGCUAUCAACCGUUCGUUAUGUGCGACCGAUGGCUUUGACGGGUAACGGGGAAUCAGGGUUCGAUUCCGGAGAGGCAGCCUGAGAAACGGCUACCACGUCCAAGGACGGCAGCAGGCACGCAAAUUACCCAAUCCCAGCACCUGGGGGAGGUAGUGACGAAAUCUAACGAUGCGGGCGCCCAUUCUGGGCCUCGCAAUCGGAAUGAGCAUUUUCUAAACAACCUGUUGAGAACCUACUGAAGGGCAAGUCUGGUGCCAGCAGCCGCGGUAAUUCCAGCUUCAGCAGCAUAUAUUAAAGUUGCUGCGGUUAAAAGGCUCGCAGUUGAAUGUCAGUGUUGGGCGACGGUAAGGUGGACGCUGGAGCAUGAGAACUAAGCGCGCUCGUGCGCAGCGCGGUGGCGCGUGGCGUAUCGCUUCCGCGUGAAACCAUCGCCAUCGUCUGUCGCGGGCGUCUCUCACAAGCUCCCGUCUGUUACAAGCCUCCUCGCUCCAGUACAUGGGUGGUAACUCCUCUCUUCGGAUUGCGUGCGCCUCUGCCGGUCUCGCGAAAGCCGUCUCUCUUCCUCUCGCGCUCGUGCUUGUGCGUGCGCGUGCUUGGGGGUCGUCGGUCUAGCUUGGCGCUAACGGCUCUGGUCGUCGUGCCGGGGAGUGGGUCGCGGUCUUGCUCGCGGGCCAGAGUUCGAGGUGUGUGGGCGCGUGCGUGUGUGCAGGAGCUUCCACGUUCUCUGCCACCGUCGUGUUCCCUCUCGCAUGUCUCUCGCGUCGCGCGCGUCCCUGUGUGUGUGUUGCCGCAUUGUCACCUUGAGUAAAUCAGAGUGCUCAAAGCAGUCGUAAAGGGUUUCGGCCCUGUGAUAAGUCUUGACGGACUGUCUUGAUUUUGCAUGGUAUGUCGGAAAACGACGUCGAGUGCUGGCUAAGAGUCUAUAGAAGUGGUUUCAAGCCAAAGCCUCGACGUAAUGAUUAAAAGGAACGGUCGAGGGCAUUGGUAUUGCGAGGCGAGAGGUGAAAUUCUAUGACCCCCGCAAGACCGCCUGAAGCGAAAGCGUCUGCCAAGGACGUUUUCAUUAAUCAUGAACGAAAGUUAGAGGAUCGAAGGCGAUCAGAUACCGCCCUAGUUCUGACCCUAAACGAUGCCAACCAUCAAUCCGCGUGAGCACCCUUUUUGACGGGCUCGGCGGGCAGCUCUCUUUUCACGGGAAACCAGAGUCUCUGGGUUCCGGGGGGAGUCUGGUUGCAAAGCUGAAACUUAAAGGAAUUGACGGAAAGGCACCACCAGGAGUGGAGCCUGCGGCUUAAUUUGACUCAACACGGGCCAUCUCACCAGGCCAGAACUCUAGCACGAUUGACAGAUUGAGAGCUCUUUCUCGAUUGAGUGGAUGGUGGUGCAUGGCCGUUCUUAGUUGGUGGAGUGAUCUGUCUGGUUAAUUCCGAUAACGAACGAGACUCUCCCCUGCUAACUAGUCGGUUGGAUCUUGUAUUUCGAUGCGAGUCGUGCGCCGGGUUAGCCUUCGUCUCGCGGCGGCGGUGCGAGUCUCCUGUCUUGCGCUGGGUGCGUGCGUUCGUGGGCGUCGUGGCGUGAAAGCGUCGCGGCGUUCGUGGGCGUGUGUGCUUUGGCGUGGGGCGGGCUCUGCCNUUCGUUGCUCGGCGUGUCUGGCUUUCCCGGGUCGUACANUCCAAGUCCUCCGCUUAUGCUAUAAAACUCUUNUUAGAGGGAUCAACGGAUCUGAAGCCGUACGAGACUGAGAGCAAUAACAGGUCUGUGAUGCCCUUAGAUGUUAUGGGCCGCACGCGCGCUACAAUGCCGGGCACAGCAGGUGUUUUCCCUACUCCGAAAGGAGCGGGCAACCCUCUGAAAGCC